Molecule: unclassified non-coding RNA, 266 nt
Filed under: uncultured fungus
Lineage: Eukaryota; Fungi
Description: partial contains 5.8S ribosomal RNA, internal transcribed spacer 2, and large subunit ribosomal RNA
Rfam family: 5.8S ribosomal RNA (bases 1-52)
Source: RNAcentral
AACGCAUAUUGCGCCCUUUGGUACUCCGAAGGGCAUGCCUGUUCGAGCGUCAUUAUCAACCUCUCAAGCUUGGCUUGUCGUUGGACCUUGCGGAUGCCGGUAAUCGGCGGGGGCAGGUCUUCAACCUAGUGGCGGAGUUCGGAGUGGACCCCGGAUACAACGAGCUCUCUCUAGCAUGUAUCAAGGUGGCCCGCCGACCUAGCCUCGUCGAAACGUCUUUAAUCAUGGUUGACCUCGGAUCAGGUAGGAGAACCCGCUGAACUUAA